GCUAAACAUGGAUGCUGCUGGCAAUCGAAGUUUUAAGUUACUAUUAUUUUUAAUAUAUAUGAUUAAAAUAUAUAUGAUCUAAAAGCAAGAGAGAAGGAACUUAAAGCAAAAGAGGCUGAACUGAAUAAACGUGAACAGGAGUUGAGAAGGAAAGAGGAUGCAAUAGCACGAGGUGACCGAGAUUCCGUUUAACAAUUUUCUUUAUUGUUGGAACAAGUCUUAUCCAAGAUCAAGAUCAAAGUACUUCACUAAGUUAUAUACGCAGGCAUUGCAAUACUUUGGCUUCAUCUAAGCUUGAACCAGUUGUUUGUUGUAUAUUGUUUCUUAUUCUUUUCUGAUCUUUUUCCUUUGAUUAAUGAGAGUUGGCGAUGAUUUGGUAUUAUUUUCUCACUAGGAUGAAUUUUGUUUUAGAAAUUGUAGUACUCUGUGUUUUUUUUUAUGUAUUAAAUUACAUAUUGAAUCAAUGUUUAUGUAUUAAAUUUAAAUUCAUUAA
Long non-coding RNA from Gossypium arboreum, 493 nucleotides. RefSeq lists it as uncharacterized. The transcript has 3 exons. The record is from RefSeq and is a predicted model, not a curated record. Lineage: Eukaryota; Viridiplantae; Streptophyta; Magnoliopsida; Malvales; Malvaceae.